RNAcentral lists this ribosomal RNA (849 nucleotides) under Salmonella enterica subsp. enterica. RNAcentral describes it as "partial 23S ribosomal RNA". It matches the Rfam family "Bacterial large subunit ribosomal RNA", at positions 1419 to 2247 of the family's 2925-position model. Lineage: Bacteria; Pseudomonadati; Pseudomonadota; Gammaproteobacteria; Enterobacterales; Enterobacteriaceae. The record is from RNAcentral.
UGGCAAAUUGGUUAAUAUUCCAAUACCAACAUUAGUGUGCGAUGGAAGGACGCUUAGGGCUAAGGGGGCUAGCGGAUGGAAGUGCUAGUCUAAGGUCGUAGGAGGUUAUACAGGCAAAUCCGUAUAACAAUACUCCGAGAACUGAAAGGCUUUUUGAAGUCUUCGGAUGGAUAGAAGAACCCCUGAUGCCGUCGAGCCAAGAAAAGUUUCUAAGUUUAGCUAAUGUUGCCCGUACCGUAAACCGACACAGGUGGGUGGGAUGAGUAUUCUAAGGCGCGUGGAAGAACUCUCUUUAAGGAACUCUGCAAAAUAGCACCGUAUCUUCGGUAUAAGGUGUGGUUAGCUUUGUAUUAGGAUUUACUCCGAAAGCAAGGAAACUUACAACAAAGAGUCCCUCCCGACUGUUUACCAAAAACACAGCACUCUGCUAACUCGUAAGAGGAUGUAUAGGGUGUGACGCCUGCCCGGUGCUCGAAGGUUAAUUGAUGGGGUUAGCAUUAGCGAAGCUCUUGAUCGAAGCCCGAGUAAACGGCGGCCGUAACUAUAACGGUCCUAAGGUAGCGAAAUUCCUUGUCGGUUAAAUACCGACCUGCAUGAAUGGCGUAACGAGAUGGGAGCUGUCUCAAAGAGGGAUCCAGUGAAAUUGUAGUGGAGGUGAAAAUUCCUCCUACCCGCGGCAAGACGGAAAGACCCCGUGGACCUUUACUACAGCUUGACACUGCUACUUGGAUAAGAAUGUGCAGGAUAGGUGGGAGGCUUUGAGUAUAUGACGCCAGUUGUAUAUGAGCCAUUGUUGAGAUACCACUCUUUCUUAUUUGGGUAGCUAACCAGCUUGAGUUAUCCUCAAGU